AAGUCGUAACAAGGUAACCGUAGGUGAACCUGCGGUUGGAUCAUUAACACAAAUGUCGAUACUGCCAAAGACUCUCGGGUCUGCGGAUUGUGUAUCACAACACACCUUCAUGUGCACUCAUGGCGCAUCAUCCGUUUUCUUUAUUGAGAACGAAUGGUGUGCUGUAAUCCAACCUGUAUCUUAUGUCUGAACUUUUUUGUAUAAAACAAUUACAAAACAACUUUUGGCAACGGAUCUCUUGGCUCUC
RNAcentral lists this unclassified non-coding RNA (247 nucleotides) under air metagenome. RNAcentral's name for it is "partial contains small subunit ribosomal RNA, internal transcribed spacer 1, and 5.8S ribosomal RNA". The stretch from base 1 to 46 matches the Rfam family "Eukaryotic small subunit ribosomal RNA", at positions 1786 to 1831 of the family's 1831-position model. The record is from RNAcentral.